CUUUAGGAAGGUUAUUGACCCUGCUAACAUCAAAGUUAGGAAUCUGAGAGGCUGCUUCCUUAAGGCACUUACAUGCAGUAAGUUUUUCUUCUUUUGUGGGUGUUGAAACUAUCAAUUUAUUCAACCCUUGGCAGCAAGGAGUUGGAGGGGUAUUGGUUUUAUCGGUGAGGAAAUCUAAGCAUGGCGUCACUAAGGAUUUUGUUUCCUCACAAGUCAGGGCCUUUGGUGGCUCUGUGGCUGCAACUGUGAGGACUAACACAGCUACCAAACUCAAAAAUGGUACAUACACACUCUUCAUUUUUACCACAAUGGUUUUUCUGAAUCACUCACUGGUGCUUUUGAUUUUGGAUGGAUGGAACACUGUGAGAGUCUUACAUUUAUAGCCAGCCACAUGCAUGGUGCGUUUUGAGCUUUCAUCAUGUGACCAUUAUUUUUUUAUCAACAAUAAAUAAAUAAAAUAAAAUGAGGCACUUCAGGGAUAUCCCAAAUCUUAUACAAAAAAAAAUCAAGACCAAAUUUCAUAACACCCAACUAACUGGGGUUCCAAUAGACUCUACGAAACAACGACUAAAGUGACAAAGACUAUUAUUUAUGAUUAUUAAUCACUUUUUGUUCUUUUUCUUUUUCUUGUAGUAUGGUCCAUAAAAUAUGAAGAAAUAUAAUUUCUUUCAACAGUUUUGAUUGCGAAUAGUUGGUGACUUUUUAAUCUCUUUCUUGGAGUAUGCUUUACAUACUCCUACAAAACAAGAUGACAAAUGAUGUUUUGACAACCUUUGGAGUUGUAUACAACUUUUGAUGUGAUGGAUUUAGAAUGAAAUAUAUAUAAUAAAGGAUAAAUUUGUAACUAAAAGAUAUGAAAAAUAUUAAAAUAAUAGUAUUGGGAGUUGUAAUGUGGUUGUAUAAAAAAAUGUGUGAGGUCAAUGUAUCAUUGUUUGACAAUGUAUACAAACAAGAUAAAGAAUCAUUGUAUUUUGUUUGUAUCUCAUUUUGCUUUAUUGAUUUUAGGAUUUUUAAAUUUAUUGUUGUUUCUUUCUUUUCUCAACCCACGAUUUCUCUUUAUAUUCCUCUCUCUCCCAACUUCUCUUCUCUUCCUUCUCUCUUCAUUUUCUUUCCCAUAAAGUUCAUUUUUACUCUAAAGAUUAAUUAUUCUUUAUUUUUCUCUAUGAUUUAGUCAUCAAUCUUAGAGAUGUCAAUUAAGAAAAGUGUUUCUCUCAACUUGAUUAAGCUCAUACUAAAAUUUUGUAAUGUUUGGAUAACUUUCUCUAGAUUCCUAAAUUUUGGAGUGGUUCCCCCAUUUGAGCUAGAAUUUCCAUAAGAAUAAGGAAUCUCAAGUAACGGAAGCUAACUUUAAAUUUCAAUAGUACCCAAGCUAGAAGAUCUGAAUGUGGAGGGGACGUGAUUCCUAGUUUCAAUUUCUAUUGCAGGGAUGUUAUUUGAUAAAAUGGUUUGAUUUUAUGUUGUGUGAACAUGUAUAAUUAUUAUAUUUUGAUAGUUUGGAAGUUAAAUAUUGUUUUUUAAGUUGGAAAAGUUAUUGAAUGUUAGUUGUUUGAAUGAUAUGUAUUAUAUAUGAAUGAUGAAAAUUGUAUGAAAUUGAUGUCAUACAUUUGGGAUAAUGUAUGAGUUAUUGUUUGAUGGUACAUUAAGUAUGAAAAACCUAUAUUUAACAGAGAUCCUCUAGUUUCACUUAUAAUCUAAUUCAUAUAGAUUAAGAUAACAGUGGGUGAGAAGCUGAUGCUAGAGUUCAUACACACUGAGUCCCGCUAUAGAAACUCGGUAUUAGAUGUUUGAACGUAUCAUGAUCCUUGAUGUAUGGAUUAGAUGUUAGUCUUUGUUAAGAGCAUACUUAAUGAGUUUUAUAAUUAUCUACAUAAAUAAUUUUAUUUUUAAAAUAAUAUAUAUAUAUAUAUAUUAAAAUAAAAACAAUUUUUUAAGAAAAAAGGGGCAACCAAGCCACCCUACUUUUGUUCGACCCAUGAGAGUAAGGGGAAACCCCACCCCUACUUGUUACCAUUUCAGUUUUGCUUUUGUGAUUCUUAAACAUUUAGAAUUUAUAUUAGUUUUCAGUUUUUUUUAUCAGUAUACGUUUCUUUUAAGUAUUUAAUGAUAGUUUGAUAAUGUAAUAAUUAAAAAUAUAUAUUAAAAAGUUAUAUGACUUUAAAGCAUACAUGCAAUUAAGAAAUAUAUAAUAAAACGGUUGUGACAUUAAUUAUUUUUUCAUUUUCAUUUUUCAUCACAUUAAAUAUAUAUACAUACAUUUAAAUUAAUUAAAUUUUUAAGGGAAAAUAAAAGAAUAAUUAAUAAUAUAAUUUACUACCAAUUUGUGAAUGUAAAAAGUGAAUAGUUUUUAUGUAGAUUAAAGAUGUGACAAAAAAAUAUGGAAAAAAAUAUUUUAUUUUUACUUAAAGUAUACAAGGUCACUUUUAUGAUUUAUGUAUUUUUCAACAUAGAGUUUGCAAAUAUGGAUUUUUUAUUAUCACUACAAAUACGGAUUUCAACAUAUAUGUGAAAAUCUUGCUAUUUAUUCAUGUUUACUUAAUAUUUUUGCAUACAAAGCUUUAAAUAGUUAUAAAGAGUUUUGUUAAUUACAAAUUCAAACAACAUUUAUUCCAACAAUUUCAUUGUAACACCUCAGAAAUGACAUUUAACUAUUACAAUACAAGUUCUAUAUGUUUGUUUCUAUAGAAGCUUAGAGUUUUUCAAAAUAUUCCUAUUAGAAUAUUAUGACUUAUACAGAUAUAAAUAUUUACAAUAUAAGGUUCAAAACAACAUCUUAAAACCCUUCAGACCCUCUCAACAUGUGUAUGAUCAUGUGUUCAUGUACGUAUUUCAGUCAUAAUAGUUCACAACACAACAAGAAAGUAAGGGUAAGCUAAUGAAAAGAAAUUCCACACAUACUUAAUCCAUGCAAAAAAAAAAAACACAAUCAAACAAAUCAAUUAUAAACAUUUCUUUAACUAUUGUCAUAUAAAAUUUCAAUAUCAAUUUCAUCAUUCAUAUAUACCAUACAUGAAUCUAUUUUCAAUCACAAUCAUUGGAUUUCAUUUCAAUCCAUAUCACUUUGAUUUCAUUUCAAUCAGACUUACUACACAUGAAUCUUCGUCUUUUGGAAAACUCCUUAAGUAUGCCCCUACCAGAGACUAACAUAUAAUUCAUACAUAAAGGAUUAGGAUAAGUUCAAACAUCUAAUACCGAGUGUCUACCGCGGGAUUGGGUGCGUAUGAACUCUCUCAUCAACUUCUCACCACCUGAUAUCUUAGUCUAUAUGACUUAGAUUAUCAGUGAAGCUAGAGACUCUUUGUUAAGCAUAGACUUUCAAUACUUAAUGUACCAUCAAACAACAAUGCAUACAUUAUCCCAAAUGUAUGACAUCAAUUUCAUACAAUUUUCAUCAUUCAUAUAUAAUACUUAUCAUUCAAUCACACAAUAUUUCAAAAUUCAUAACAUUUAAGAACCUUUCAAACAUAAAAGAUGAACUUUAGAGUAAAGAUGAACUUACUCUGUUUGAAAAUCUGACUCCUCAGCUAUAGCAUGACGUGAUCAGAUUUUGGAAUAGAUGAAGUAUGAGAGAAAUUGAAGAGAGAAGAAAGAGAGAAAGGAUGAAAGGGUGAAAAGGAGGGGCGGCGAUUCUGCUUCCUUGUUCUUUCUUUUUUUUUACGGAGGGUUAGAAUUUUCAUCAAUGUUAUCUGUAUUUAUAGCACCUUAGUUAUGUUUGUUAAGAGAUAGAUCAUUGAUAUAAAGAAAACGAAUAUAAGUUUUUUAAGAUCAUCAUGCAAACAUACAAACGUUUUUGUUUAUAUGAAAAACUAAAUCAACAACUUAUAUUUCAAUAAAUAAAGAAAGGACAAAGUCAGAUAAACUGAAAUCUACUUAAGAUUAAAUUAAACACAUAGAUAUGUUUAUGCCUCAACAAAUCAUUAAAUUAGAAUGUAAAAUUUAUGUUGAAAGUAAAUUUUAUUUUGUUAUAUGUUUAAUAUUUAUGGAAAAUUAAUCACUACAAGAAAAUUACUAAAUAAAUAUUAAUUUUAGAGACUAAAAAUAAUUAGUCACUAUAUUAACUAAAUUAGAUACUAUUUUAUUAUUAAAAAAUUUAUUGGUAUUUGAAGUGAUUUAUAUUAUUAAUAAAUAGUUUCUAAUUGGUAUCUUAUUUAAAAAUUAUUUAUUAAUAAUAGGAACUACUUUAUAUACCGAUUUUUUUUAGUCUAUAAAAUAAUAUCUAAUUUAAUUAAUAUAAUGACUAAUCAUUUUUUGUCUCUAAAAUUAGUUUCUAUUAAAUUAUUUUCUACUAAUAAUUUUUUUGUUAUAUAUAUAUAUACACACACGUGUAACACCCUUAUAAAACAUCAAUCAUAAACUAUAUAACAUAAAUUUUCAUAUAGAAUUUACAAACAAUAAUAUAUUUUAAAAAAAAAUACUUAAACAUGAGAAAAGAUAUCAAUAAGUAUAAUUUUUUUUUGAAAAAUGAUAAAAUAAAUUUUUAUUCUUUUUUAGAUGUUACUCCUACACCUCUAUCUCCAUAUAUUGUAUAAAUAACAAGUAAUAAGGUAAGCAUGUUUAUUAUUACACAAAUGUUUAUAAAAGAAAAACACAAACCAAUUCCAUAAAAAAAAAUCUCAUCAAUACAAAUAUAUACAUAUAUAUAUAUAUAAAAGGAUAUUCAACAAGUGAAUUAUGGUGAUGGUGACAUAUCUAUAUUAAGUUGCUUUGAGUUGGCUUCUGGGCUCAAAGUUAUUUUUUCAAAGAACAAACUUGGAGGGAUGGGCAUAAAUCAAUCUCAAUUGCAACUAUACUCGUCUCUUCUAAACUGUGAAAUAAUGAAAGCUCAUUUUAAGUAUUUGGGAUCGGAGGUGGCUAGUAAUCAUAUAAGAGUGUGUUUUUAGGAAGAUGUGAUUGACAAGAUCAGGAAGACACUGGAUAGGUAGAAGGGGAAGUUUUUAUCUUUAGCUGGUAGAGUGUGUUUGUUUAGAUUGGUUCUUUCGUCUAUUCCCCUGUUCUAUACAUCCUUUUUAGAAUACCAUUUUUACUGGUUCAAAGUAUAAAGAAAAUUUAGAGAAAAGUCCUUUGGGAUUAGGGGAAGGAAGGGAAGAAAAUAGCUUGGGUGGUCUAGGACAAAGUAUGUGAGCCUAGAGAGAAUGAUGGACUAGGUAUAAAAGGAAUGACAUCUUCCUAAAGAGUUGUAGUAGAUAGGUUACCGACACUUGUUAACUUGAAAGAAAGAGGGGCAGUCUUGGAAAGCUUCAUGUGUGUUAUGUGCGGGGAGGAAGAGGAGACAAGGAACCAUCUUUUUUUCAAAUGUAAUGUAGCUUGGAGGGUCUGAUGCUUGUGUAGAAAGUGGGUUGGGGAGGACAUAGUGUACCAUUGGGAUGCCAAAUCCCAUUUUCUUGUAUGGGCAUGACAGAAGACAAACAAAUAUUGGGGAUGUUUGUGGAUUGUUAUGGUUGGGGAAAUCUAGAAACAAAGGAAUCUCAUCUUAUUUAAGAAUGGUAGAGUUGAUUGCUCGGAGAUCUUUUCUUUAGCCCAACUCAAGGCAUGGUCAUGGCUUACGAGCAAGGUAAGUUUAGCUUCUUUUACUUAUGUCCAAUGGUGCAUAGACCCAAAGACUUGUUUAAUAUCUAUAAGAUAGUAAGGGUGUUGUUGGGCAGUGUUUUUAGGAAGGUAAGACUGUGUUUUUUUUUCUCUUUUGUAUAGUUUUAAAAGUAGCAUGGGACAGGUAUUUCUAACAAUGGCCUUGGGUCAGUUUGGAGGGUUGUUUUUUGUAGGGCAGUAGAGGGUAUAUAGUUUGGAGCAGGAAAGAGGCACAUCUUGGAUUUUUCCUUAAACUAAGGGUGGUUUAAAGGACUUUGAUAUUUGUGUAUGUUUGGACUGGUAAGGCAUGUUACAUUGAAGGAUUGACUUUUUUUGUGAUGUAUGAAUUUGACUGUAUGGCUUGUUAUCAUUGGAGUAUUUGUUCUAUUAGCUAGAUCGGUAUUGUAGUGUUUUGGAGUUCGAAAGAUACUAUUUGAGUGGAGUUUUUGUUUUUUGUUCUAUUGUCAUUGGCCUUUAUGUUUUUGGCCUAGAACAGAUUGUAUAAAGGUUGGAUGUAAAGAGUGAUUAGNNNNNNNNNNNNNNNNNNNNNNNNNNNNNNNNNNNNNNNNNNNNNNNNNNNNNNNNNNNNNNNNNNNNNNNNNNNNNNNNNNNNNNNNNNNNNNNNNNNNACAAAUUAGUAUUUAUAUUUAUAAGAAAACCUAAGAAUAAUGGAUCAAUGUAAAUUUAUUAGAAUCCAAGUCACAUACAUAUGUCGAGUGUGUAAACAAUUGAUGUCUUAAUCUACAUGACUCAAACUAUGAGUGUAGCAAGGGAAUCUCUAUUGUAACACAAAUAUCUUUACUUAAUACAUGACUCAAAGAAUGGUUUAAUAUAAUUCAUAUUUGUGGCCUCAUAUUCAUACAACUUUCAUAAUUUCUACAACAUUUUUUCAUAUAAUAUAAAUCAUUUAAAUAAAACACAAUUCAAUCAAAUAAACAAAUCGAUACUUUAUUUACUUUUAUAUUCAACAUUCACAUUCAAUUAAUUAAAGAGACAAAAGGAAAUAAUGAAAUAAAAAAAAAACUAGUUUGAGCGAAAUUCUAGUCAAAAAAAGGUUGAAUUUAGGUUCUAUUUUUCACUUGAGCGAAAAUAUGGACAAUGACCAAGGUUGGUUUUUUAUUCCAUUUUCACUCGAACGAAAAUGGAACCAAAAAACAAAUGUUGAUUUUCUAAUAUAUUUCAUUGAGUGAAAUUUAUCAGUUUUCAAAAUUUCACCCCAAAAUCAAUAAAACAAGUUACAACUUUUAAAUAACUCAAAAGGCCAACAUAAUUAUAAUGUAUUCGAAUAGAACUUUCACUCUCGUAAAGCUCACAAUUCAAUCAAUGAUAACUAUAAGAGAUUAACUUAUUCUCACAAAAAAUCAUAUUCAAAACACAAUUUAAAAUCCUCAACAUGCAAAAAUCUAUUCACCAUGAUAAUAUCUCAAUUAUAUUAAAUUCAAAGUACUCAAACAAUUCUCACUUAAUUUUAAAUAUUUACAUAUUUUUAAACAAAAACACAAAUCCCUGCACAAAAAUCAAUAUGUCAUCAAGUCUAGAGAUGAAAUUGUUGGAUAGCUCGUCUCAUCCUGCGUAUAAAAUACGGGUUGAUUUUAUGAACCUACUUCAAUAAGAAUUGGUCCACGGACAUGUAAGUCAUCUAACAUAAUUUUUUUAAAAUUAAUGAAAAAUAAAAUUUUAAAUAUAAAUUUUAAAUAAUUAAUUUUUUUUUCUUAUUUAAAUAAAUUAAAUAAAUGAAUUCACAAUCUUAUUCUUACAACAAUAAGAUAUAGAUAUAGAUAAAAAUAAAAAUAAAAAUUCUUUAAUUUCAUAAUGUGAGAUUUAAAACUUUAAAGAUUAUAGAAUUUGAAAGUUAGAAUAAAACACUUUGUCCCAUCACAUGCGGGUCCAGAAGAAGCCCCCACCCCUACUUGCUUCUAUAUCUUUGUUUUAACUUUGUGAUUCUGAAACAGUUAAAGUUUACGUUUCUUUUUGAGUUUUUUUUAUGAGCAUAAGUUUGUUUAAAGUAUUUAAUGAUAGUUUAGUAAUUAAAAAUAUUCAUUAAAAGAUUAAAUGUCUUUAAAGUAAAUGCAAUUAAGAAAUGUAUAAAAACGGUUGUCACAUUAAUUAUUUAUUUCAUUUUCAUUUUUCAUCACAUUAAAUAUAUAUACAUACAUUUAAAUUGAUUAAAUUUUAAGGGAAAAUAAAAAUAUAAUCAAUAAAUGAAUAUAUUUCAGUACCAAUUUGUGCCAUUGGAAAUUGUCACACCAAAAUUAUCCAAACACAAUAGUUAAAGAAUUAAAAAUGGGAUUUAGUUUCUUUUACACAUUGAAAGAAUAUUUGGACUGUAUAGCAUGAUUUUCUCAAAGUUUUGGUUAACUUUUGAAUAUGUCACUCGUCUAUUUGUUUCAAUAUCGUUGAGAAUUGAUUUCGCUUCUACUUUUACAAAUUAGUUAUCCCUAAGAAAAUUAGAGAUUUAAUUAUUAUUUUUAAUACAUUAUGUAAUACACUACAAAAAAAUAUGUUUAUUAGCAUGGGUCAAAAAGGGACAUUAGCUAUAAUAAAUGGACGCAAAAAGUGUAGUUAUCAUUAAAAUUUGGAAGCUAUGCUCAACAUAAAAAUAGUGGCGGGUGUGUGGGACAUAAAUGGUGUGUUUUUUAAGUAGGCCUAGUCUACAUGCUCCCUACACAAAAUUAUAUUUUAUAUUGUUUAUUUAAAGAAGCGUGGGCUUAGUCAACAGAUUGGCCACCCAAUUUUUAAACAAGCGUGGGCUUAACCUUCAUAAUUUUUUUACAUAUUUAAAUUUAAUUUAAAUAUAUAUAUAUAUAUAUAUAUAUUAUGUUUGCGUGGCUUUAACCUACAAAAUUUUAAAUUUUUAUUAUUAUUUAUUAUUUAUAGUUUCAGUUGUGACCAUUUAACCCAGACAAUUUUUUUUUCUUUUUUUUAGUUUAUGUCCAUAUAACCCACGCUUACCCACACUUUAUUUUUUAUUUUUUUUAAUAAUGAAGGCUUGUUGGACACUAUUUAGAGUUCCUAACAUCAUCUUCAUUUUCUUUUGCAGCUAAUUUUACUUUUUGGUGUAGUGAUAAACCAAACCAGGUUUCAUAAAAUGAUAACUUAUUUCGAUUAAAUAUAUUUUGGAUUAGGCUCAUGAACUUUAAAUACAAGUGAUUCAUCUUAAUUAAAUGCAAAAAUAAACUCUAUGAAAAAAAUAUAAAUGGAGGAUACCAACACAUGAAAAAUUAUUCAUUUAUUAUCAGUUCUAACAUAACUAUUUCUUUCACGCAAGCUCAACAAACAAUCUUAUUUUGGACAAACAAAAUGAUAACUUCGAAGCAUAAUCCACCAUUUCCUCAGGGCUUGUUUUUUAUAAUUCUGAAAAAGAAGAAGAAGAAGAAGAAAAGAAAGAAAAAGAAAUGUCAGAAAAGUAAAUGAAUGAGUAGUAUUAACAUGAAUGUAGAAAACAAAAAUCUCACUUUUCGCAAUCGAAGUCCUUGGAGAUGGGAUAAUCGACAUUAAUUUUACAAACUUUAGGAAGGCCAUUGGCUCUGUCAACAUCUAGGUUAGGAAUGUGAGAGGCUUCUCCCUUAAGGCACUUACAUGCAGCACAUUUUUCUUCUUUUGUAGGUGUUGAAACUAUCAAUUUAUUCAACCCUUGGCAGCAAGGAGUUGAAGGGGUACUAGUUUUCUUGGUGAGAUAAUCUAAGCAUGGGGACAUUAAGGAUUUUGUCUGCUCACAAGUCAGAGCCUUUGUGGCUCUGUGGCUGCAACUGUGAGGACUAACACAACUACCAAACUCAAAAAUGGUACAAAUGCACUCUUCAUUUUUGUCACAAUGGUUUAUCUCAAUCACUCACUGGUGCUUUUGAUUUUGGAUGGAUGGAACAUUGUGAAAGUCUUACAUUUAUAGCCACAUGCAUGGUGCAUUUUGAGCUUUCAUCAUGUGACCAUUAUUUAUGACUAUUAAUCAUUUUUUGUUUUUUUUUGUUUUUCUUGGAGUGUGGUCCACGAAAUAUGAAGAAAUAUAAUUUCUUUCAACGGUUUUGAUGUGUUAUUGCAAAUAUUUAGUGACUUUUUUAUCUCUUUCUUCGUUACAAGAAAAUCAUUAAAUAGAAACUAAUUUUAGAAAUCAAAAUAAUUAGUUAGUAUUUGAUUAAAUUAGAAAUUAUUUUAUAAACUAAAAAUUUAGUGGUAUCUAAAGGAGUUUAUUUCAUAAACAAAAAAAUAUCGACAUCUAAAGUGGUUUUUUAUUAAUACAAAUUUAUAAAAUAGUUUCUAAAUUAGUAUCUGAAUUAACUACUAAGAUUUAAAAUUACUAAUUUUUAGAUUCAAAAUUAGUCUCUAAAGGACUAAUAGAGACUAAUUUAUAAUAUAAAGUAGUUAGUAGCUAAAACUUUGGUAGCUAAUGGUUAGAUACUAAUUUAGAAACUACUUUAUAAAUUUUUAUUAAUAAGAGAAAUUACUUUAGAUACCAUUAAUUGUUUUAGUUUAUAAAAUUAUCUCUAAUUUAGUCAAUAUAGUAACUAUUUAUUUUGAUAUUUCGAGUUAGUUUAUAUUCAAUGAUUUCUUGUGAUGUAUGUUCUACGCACUCUCACAAACACAGAUAAAGUGUAUCAUUAUAUUUUGUUUGUAUCUCAUUUUGCUCCGUUGAUGUUAAAAUUUAUUGUUGUUUUAUACUACAUCAUUUAUUACUUUAGACAAUAUUGAAUUAGAUUACAUAUAUAUAAUUGUUUUCUACACAUAAAAAAAAUGAUUUUAUAAAUGUGGUUUAAGGACUAUCAAAGAUCACAUUAAUUAUUUAUACAACAUUUUUUAAGUGUUGUCAUUAAAAUGUAUGGAUUAAACUAUAAGACUAUUGAGUAAAAGUGGUCACAUAUAUUAAUAUAUAUGAUAGAUUACGUUUUUCAUGUCUUAGACAUUUCAGUGAUCUUUAAGAAAAGGAUAAACCACAUUAAAAAGAUGUUUUCAAAUAAUAAAAAAGUGACUUUCAAUUGUAGAUAUUUUAAAUCAUAUAUAAUUAAGAUUAUCUUUAAUAUAAGUAACACUUCUAAAACGUGAUUACUUUUUUUUUAUCGUAAAAAAAGAAUAAUUAAAGGAGGUAUUUUAGGAAUACCUAAACCCUUAUACAAGACACCACACCAAAACACACUCAUACUUCUAGUGUUUUCUCUUGUUAAUAGACCUCAUACAAACAAGUGGUUCUAGACAUCAAUCUGAGUAAGAGAAACAAACUACUCUUACUCUCGCUGUUACCUAUGACCAGACCUUCAUUUGUGUCAUUGUGAAGAUUUCUUGAUGAUAUAUUCUUCCAUUCCUAAAUAUGGUUACUUUAUCCCAUAUUUAUGAAAUCCUUUGAUUAAAUUAAAAAAAAAAAGUUAUGCUUUUGAAUUCAAAAUAUACAAUACAGUUUACGUUAUUUAGUAUGUUCUAAAUCUAAAUUACAAGCUUUUUAUUCGUCUACAAAUCAAAAUUCAAAUUAAACCUUGAUUUUAAAAUUAAAAUCCAAAUUAAUAAUAAUAAUAGUAUGAUAACAAAAAUUUUCUAAUAUAUAGUUAUAAGUUUAUGUUUACUCUUAAUAUAUCCAAAUACAAUUGCCAAAUUAAAUAAUAAAUAAUUAUCACAUAAAUAUAAAUUAUAACACUUAAAAAUUGUGGUCCUACCUAUUAUCAUGUUUUAAACAAUGGUUUUUAAAUUUCUGUUAAAAAUUAUUACCUUAGUCAUGUUUUUAAAAGAUUGGUAUAAAGAAAACAAAUGAGUUUUUGAAGUGAAGAACAUCAUGCAAACAUAUAAAACGUUUUUUUUUUAUAUAUGAAAAACUAAACCAACAAAUAAAGAAAGAAAAAGUCAGAGAAACUGAAAUCUACUUAAAGAUUAAAUUAAACACAGAUAUGUUUAUGUCUCAAAAUAUUAGUAAUUAAAUUAUUAUUUUUUUAUCUUCAAAAUUAGUUUUUAUUUAAUAAUUUUUUAUAGUAAAUUUUUAUUAUAUAUAUUUAUUUAUUUGUAAUACUAUAACAUUCCAAAAAUACAUCUAACUAUUAUAAUACAAGUUCUACGUGUUUCUAUACAAGCUUAGAGUUUUUCAAAACAUUCCUAAUACAUGAUUAGAGAAUAAAAAUACAAAUAUUUACAAUAUAAGGUUCAAAACUACUAAAGUCCUUCUGACCCUCCGACACCUGUAUGAUCAUUUGUUCGUGUACGUAGUACAGUCAUUGUAGUUCAAACACAACAAGAAAAACAAGGAUAAGCUAAUGAAAAGAAAUUUCAUAACAUAUUUAAUUCAUGCAAAAAAAAAUCAAACUAAUCAUUUAUAAACAUUUCUAUAAAUGUUGUCAUAAAAAAUUUCAAUACCAAUUUCCUCAUUCAUAUAUAUUACACAAGGAUCUAUUUUCAAUCACAAUCAUUGGAUAUCAUUUCAAUCCAUAACACUUUAAUUUCAUUUCAAUCACACUGGCUACACAUGAAUCUAUCGUCUUCCGGAGGACUCAUUAAGUAUGCCCCUACCAGAGACUAACAUCUAAUCUAAUUCAUGCAUCAAGGAUCAGAGUAAGUUCAAGCAUCCAAUACCAAGUGUCUACAGCGGGACCCAGCGUGUAUGAACUCCCUCAUCUGCUUCUCAUCACCUGAUAUCUUAGUCUUACAUGACUUAGAUCAUCAAUGAAGCUAUAGGAUCUCUGUUAAACAUAGGCUUUUCAUACUUAAUGUAUCAUCAAACAAUAACUCAUACAUUAUCCCAAAUGUGUGACAUUAAUUUCAAACAAUUUUAAUUAUUCAUAUAUAAUACAUAUCAUUUAAUCACAUAACAUUCAAGAAUCCUUCCAACAUCAAAAACAAUAUUUAACUUCCAAACAAUCAAAAUCUAAUAUUUAUACAUGUUCACACAACAUAAAAUCAAACAAUUUUAUCAAAUUACAUCCCUGCAAGAGAAAUUGAAACUUGGGAUCACGUCCCCUCCAUAUUCAAAUCUUCUAGCCUAGGGUACUAUUGAAAGUUAAAGUUAGCUUUCCUUACCUGAAAUUCCUUAUUGUGAUGGAAAUUCUACCUCAAAGAGGGGAACCACUCCAAAAUUUAUGAACUCUGUUUGAAAAUCUAAUUGGGUAGAAAUAUUCCCUGACUCCUCAACUACAUCUUGGCGUAAUCAGAUUUUGGAAUAUAUGAGGUAUGAGAGAGAAAUUAAAGAGAGAAGGGAGAUGAGAGAAAUGGGAAGCGAGAAAGAGAUAAGCACCGUAUGUGGGGGGGGGUUCAGUGUUACAAAUACCCUUACAAGACAUCAACCAUUUUUUUUAUCAGCAAUAAUGAAUAAAUAAAUGUGGAUACUUCAGGGGUGAACUAACCCUUAUACAACUCACGAAAUACUCCAGCCAACAAAAUACUAACUAAACUACUCUAAAACAAGAAACCCCAAAACCAAAAACCAGCAAGCUAAAAACCAAAUCUAAAUUGAAUUUAGGCAAAUCAAAGGUUCAAGACACCAAUCUGAAUAAGAAAAACAAACAAAUGGAAUUUUAGAGGAAAUCCAAGACCAAACCUUCAAUAGAGCCAAAGAGAAAGUCUCUAAAUGAUCCAACACUCCACCUUUAAAGAUGACAUUGUUCCUAACACACCAAAACUCACUAACCACCUCAAUCCCUACAUUCUCCAAGACCAAAUUAACAUAAUUAGGUGCAUUACACAGGUUAAACUACAAGAUAUGAAAAUGAGGGUUAAAAGAAUCAACCGACUUCAACCCUAACCAUGCAUAACAGAGACUCUAUACUAACCAAGCGAAACGACAACCAAAAAAUAGAUGAAAAGAAGUCUCCUCUUUUUCCCCACACAAGCUACACAUGAUAUUUCCAACCACAAUCUCACUUUUGACCAAAUUAGCUUUGGUUGCAAUCUUGUUUUCCAAUACCCUCCAAACAACAAAAUGGCCCAAAGGCAAAACUUAAAAGGCCUUAAAUAAUUGUAAAUGGUCCUGUUUAGAACCGCCCUCCGAUAACAUACCCCACUUAAAAUGGGGGCAUCCAGGUGAGGAGACAACCACACAUACCUCUUCUUCUAAGGACACCUGACACAAAGUAUCAUUUAUCCUUACGUUUUUAACUAAAUUUGCCACCCUUCGCACUGGCAUUCUGAUACGUAACCUUGUAAACUUAACACCUCUGAAGCACUGGUUGCCUAGUCCACAUCAAUUAAUGAACCAACCAGAGCCCCAAUUGACUUAAAACAUUGUCUAUUUCAGAACAUCAACAGGAUACCUCUACAACGGACCUGGGCGAGCUUUUCAGUUACCACAAAAGAUUAGGACCAUGGGAAGAGUGAAUCGACAAAACCUUCCAAGCACUAUUUGUUUUCUUCGAUAAGCUUCUCAAGAGAGCCUGUUGUUUCACUUGACAAAAGAACGUAUAGCUCCCCUAGAGAUCUAACCCUCACAAAACUAAACCCUCCCAAAAAGAAACUCGCAUUCAUUGCCUGAACAUUACUAGCUUUAACAACCUCCCAACAUAGUAGUUCUCCAGCCACAUAGGGGAUUCCACCUUGACACUGAAAGAUGUCAUGUUUUCAUAUGAAACCGAAGCCUUCAAAGGGGAACUCCCACACCCGCUCUUGACCACCUAAACGAAAGAACAUUUUUAUUCCUUCUGAUUCCACAUUUUCCAAGUUGUUGAUGACCUCUCCUUAGGAUUCCACUCUUUCUUUGGAUAUCACGCUUAUUGAAUUUCGAUUUGUUAACCCACAACUUCCAAUACCCAAUCCAAAUAGAGUCCAAUUUUCUUUCCAACACAUCCACACCCCUUACGCCCUGGAACCUUACAAACCCAAAGCGCUGAUUUCUAGCAUUUAACUUUAUGAUGAUAAAUACGUCUAAGACUCGUCCCCAUGUUUGGAAAAUUUUCCAUAGAUCCUUUUCAAAGUAACAGGUGGAAAUUUUGUGAAGAAAAACAAUGUAUAUGCCAUAGACUUAAUGUUCUUCCUCGCCGGAAAACACUCUACCUCACCUGAAAACACUUCGCGGACCUUUCUCUCUCUAUCUCAUCGAAUAACACUCAACGAACCUUUCUCUCUCUACAUAUUUUCUCUCCUCAAGAAAAGUUAAGACUUAGAAAAAAAAUGUUAAACUAAGCCUCAAUUGUGAGUAAAAAUCCUAAACCCUGAAAACAUCAACCAUAAACUAUAUAACAUAAAUUUUCAUAUAUCAUUUGCAAACCAUAAUAUAUUUUUAAAAAAUUACUUAAAUAUGAGAAAAUAUAUCAAUAAGUAUAAAUAUUUUAAGAAAAAAUUAAAAUAGAUUUUUAUUCUUUUUUAGAUGUUACUCCUAUUAAUGAGACAAAAAGAAAUAAUGAAAUAAAAAAAACUAAUGUGAGCAAUAUGAUCAAGCAACAUGACUGAUUUUUUACUUAUUUUCACUCAACCAAAAAUGGAGGCAAGAGGAAAUGUUGAUUUCCUAAUAUAUUUGUUUGAGUGAAAUUUAUCACUUUUCAAAAUUUCACCCAAAAUUAAUACAACAAGUUACAACUUUUAAAUAACUCAAUAGAUCAAUAUAAUUAUAAUUUACUCAAAUAUAAUUUGUCCUCUCCUAAAGCUCACAAAUCAUACAUGAUAACUAUAAGAAAAUAACUAAUUCAAACAAAAAAUCAUAUUCAAAACAGAAUUUAAAAUGUUCGUAAUUUAACAUGCAAAAAUCUAUUCACCAUAACAAUAUCUCAAUUAUAUUGAAUUCAAAGUAAUUAAACAAUUGUCAUUCAAUUUCCAAAGAAAACAAUAACCCCCGCACAAAAAUAAAUAUACUAUGAUUAAGUAUAGGGAUGGAAAUUGAGCUGAUGCACCUAGCGUAUAACAUGCGGGUUAAUUUUAUGGGGUUAAUUUUAUGGGUCCGUCCUGUAUAAGGAUUGGUCCACAGGCUUACGGGUCAGUCUUUAUAAAAAUUGUUUUAAAAUUAAUACAAAAUAAAUUUUUAAAUAUAAAUUUGAAAGAAAAUAAUUUUUUUUAUUUAGAUUAGUUAAGUAAGUGAUCUCAUUAUUAAUGUGUUUUUUCUUUAAUUCCAAAUAAAUUUAGAACUUCCAGAAUUAUAGAAUUUAAAAGUUAAAAAACCUCGCGACGAGUCCCACCCCUACUUGUUUCCAUAUCUUUGUUUUGCCUUGAUUCUGAAACAGACAGAAAUUAUGUUUGUUUUGAGUUUUUCUUAACAACAUACGUUUCUUUUCAGUAUUUAAUGAUAGUUUGAUAAAUAGUAAUUAAAAAUAUACAUUAAAUAAUUAUAUGUGUUUAAAGUAGACAUGCAAUAUUAAGAAGUAUACAAUAAAACUGUUGACAUUAAUUAUUUUUUCAUUUUCAUUUUUCAUCACAUUAAAUAUAUAUACAUAUAUUAAAUUAUAUAGUAAUUAAUCAUUGUUAAUUUUUAUUUUUAUGAUACAAAUUAAUUCAAAUAACUUAAUACUUUUAUUUAACUUUUGUUAACAUUUAAAAAUAAACAACAUCAAAUAUAUUUUUUAAAAUAAAAAAGAAUCAAAUUAAACAUAAUAUUUUACCAAUUUUAUGUUUUAAUAAGAAACUUUAUUUAAGAUAUCUUGAAUUUUCAGUUUUUUUUAUAUUUUUAUUAAAAGAAAGUUAAUGUAGAUUAAAAGUUUUGUUAAUAUUGAUUUAUGUUUUAAUUGGAGGGUGUUUUGGAUUUAAAAAAUAUAUAUUAUGGAGAUGCAGACACCAUGGUGCAGGAAGAAUUUACAUUUUAUAAAGCUCUGAUUCCUUUUUUUCCUUUUUAGUAUGUUUUGUACACAUUAAAAAAAUGGGAAAGUUGUAUAUAUGUUUUUAGAUAGAGGAAAAGGUAUAUUUGGUUUGGUAUCAUUUUAUUUGGAAAAUGCACAUAGAAUAAUAUGUGUAACUUAAUUUAUUAAUACUUAUAAAUUAAAUUUUAAUUAAUAUUUAUAAUAAAUGAAUUAUCUUUUUAGUCUAUAUUAAGGAUUAAAAAUUAAUUUUAUCUCUUACAUUUUAAAAAGUUUAAUGUGGUAUAAUUUUAAGAAAGAAAAUCGUAUCAACUCUUUCUAAAAAGUUUAAUGUAUUUGCAUAAUCUUAAGUAGAUCUAUUUUAACUAUCAUAAUCUAGCAUAAUGAACUACAUUAAAUUGUUUGUUAUAAAAAUGAACUAUAUUAAACUUUUAGAAAAUCUCAGAAUUAAAAUGAUUUUUAUCUUUGAUAUAGAAAAAAAAAAGAUAAUCUAAAAUAAUUUAACGUAUAAAAAUAAAAGUAAAUUUAAUUUAUCAAAUUAAAAACAUUAAUUAUUCAAUUAAAAAUUAUUUACAUAAUUAAGUGUGUUUUUAAAAUAUUAUAAAUAUUAAAAUAAAAACAAACUUUAAUAAAAAAAUGGCAACCACCCACCUACUUUUGCCCGAACAGCAGGUCCAGAGAAAACCCACCCCUUUUCUGUAACACCCCAUAAUUUGCAUAUAACUAUUACAAUAAAAGUUCUACCAGUUUCUAAACAAACUUGGAGUUUUUCAAAACAUUCCUAAUACAUGAUUAGGAUUUAUAGAAAUACAAAUAUUUAUAUAUCCAUAGCUCAAAACAAAACUCUGAAACCUCUAAGGCUCUCCUGCAUCUGUAUGGUCAUCUGCUCGUCGCAGUUCAAACACAGCAAAAAGAACCAAUCAAAUAAAUCAGUUAUAAAUAUUUCUUUAAAUGUUGUCAUAUAAAAUUUCAAUAUCAAUUUCAUGAUUCAUAUAAACCACACAUGGAUCUAUUUUCAACCACAAUCAUUGGAUUUCAUUUCAAUCCCACUUCAUCUUCCAGAAGACUCAUUAAGUAUGUCCCUACCAGAUACUAACACCUGAUCCAAAGAUUACCAUCGAAUCCAAUAGAAAGGAUCAAGGUAAGUUCAAACAUCCGAUACCGAGUGUCUAGGUGGUACCCGGUGUGUAUGAACUCCCUCUCAGCUUCUCACUACCUGAUAUCUUAGUGUACAUGACUUAGAUCAUCAGUGAAGCCAGAGGAUCUCCGUUAAACAUAGGCUUUUCAUACUUAAUGUACCAUCAAAUGAAAACUCAUACAUUAUCCCAAAUGUAUGACAUCAAUUUCAUACAAUUUUCAUCAUACAAUAUCAUUCAAAACGCAAUCCACAAUAUUCAAAAUCCUAUUUAACAGAAAAAAACAAAACUUAAAUACUAAACCAUCAAAAUCUAAUAUUUUUACUAGUUUAAAUAAUAUAUAAACAAACAACAUCCAUGCAAGAGAAAUUGAAUAUUGGGACCACGUCCCUUCCACAUUCAGAUAUUCUAUCAUAGGGUGCUAUUAAAAAAAUUAAAUUUAGUUUCCCUUACCUCAAUUGCUUGCUUUCCAAGCAACUUCUAGAAUUUUAUUCCCCACAAGAUAAGCUUUAAGAUUUAUGGGCCUAAUGCAAGUUAUCCAAACAUAACAAAAAUUCAGUAUAAAGUAAAAUAAGUUGAGAGGAUUAAACUUCUCAACUAACCCCACCAAGAUUGAUGACUAAAUCCUAAAGGAAAAACAUAGAACAAAUGAUAUUUAAAGUAUGAUCAGAUUCUAAAAUAGAUGAGGUAUGAAGUGAGAAAUUAAGAGAGAAGAUAAAAGGGAGAGAUGGAGGGAGAAAAAAGAAAGGAAAAAAUGGUGCGUGGGGACAAGGUUCUGGUUCUUUAUUUUAUUUUUUUUUACGCUGUUAUAUUUGCUUUUUUUCUAAUUUUGAAACAGUUAGAAUUUACGUUUGUUUUGAUUUUUUUUAAUUUUGAAACCGUUAGAAUUUACGUUUGUUUUGAUUUUUUUUUUUAUCAACAUACGUUUGUUUAAAGGUUUCUUUUAAGUAUUCAAUGAUAGUUCUAUAAUAUAGUAAUUAAAAAUAUUCAUUAAACAAGUUAUAUCUCAGACAAGCAAUUAAGAAAUAUAUAAUAAAACGGUUAAUAAUUAUUUUUUUCAUUUUUAUUUUUUAUCACCUAUUAUAUAUAUAUAUAUAUUAAAUUAUAUAGCAUGAUUUUCUUAAAAUUUUGAAUAUGUCUUAUUACUGUACUCAUCUAUUCGUUUUAAUAUAGUUGAGAAUUGAUUUCGCAUGUACUUUUACUGGUUUCUCCAAAUUAAAUUAGAACUUUAAUUAAAAGUUUUCUUUAAUACAUUAGGUAAUAAACCAAAUCAGGUUUCAUAAACUGAUAGCUUACUUCGAUUAAAUUUAUUUAGGAUUUGGCUCACCAAUAUUAGUUAAACACAAACUAUUCAUCUUAAUUAAAUGUAAAAAUAAAUUCUAUGAAAAAAAUGAAGGGAAAUACCAACAACAUAUAAAAAAUUAUUCAUUAAUUAUCAGUUUUAAUAUAACUUUUUCUUUCAGGCAAACUAAAGAAAUAAUUUUAUUUUUGAAAAAAAAAGAUAACAACUUCAAAGCAUAAUCCACCAUUUCUAACGUCACAUCUCCUCCUCAAGGCUAGUUUUUUAUAAUACUGAAAAGGAAGAAAAGAAAGUAAAAACAAUGUCAGAAAAGUGAAUGAGAGGUAUUAACAUGAAUAAUACAUAUAAAAAAAGAAAGAAACUCACUUCUCGCAAUCGAAAUUCUUGGAGAUGGGAUAAUCGACAUUAAUAUUACAAACUUUAGGAAGAUUAUUGGCCUUGUCAUCAUCAAAAUUAGGAAUGUGAGAGACUGCUUCCUUAAGACACUUACAUGCAACAAGUUUUUCUUCUUUUGAAGGUGUUGAAACUAUCAAUUUAUUCAAUCCUUGGCAGCAAGGACUUGAAGUGGCAUUAGUUUUAUUAGUGAGAAAAUCUAAGCAUGGCAUCACUAAGGAUUU
Molecule: long non-coding RNA, 19294 nt
Filed under: Phaseolus vulgaris (common bean)
Lineage: Eukaryota; Viridiplantae; Streptophyta; Magnoliopsida; Fabales; Fabaceae
Description: long non-coding RNA (PVUL_LNC001833)
Source: RNAcentral